Non-coding RNA from Oryza sativa Japonica Group (Japanese rice), 493 nucleotides. The record is from RefSeq and is a predicted model, not a curated record. NCBI's taxonomy places the organism in Eukaryota, Viridiplantae, Streptophyta, Magnoliopsida, Poales, Poaceae.
CUCUGAUGCUCGGUUCCCGCUGUUGCCACCGGUGAAGAUCAUCGGCGUCGCUGAGGAGGGCGACGCAGUGUUCCUUUGGACGAUGCUCGGGAUCUUUAUGUUCUGUCCAGGAUCCAUGGAGCUUAAGAAGGUCUGUGAAGAAACUCGAGAUAUUGAGAUGGUGCACCCAUACGCAUCCUUCUAUGUCCCAACUCGCAACUCCCGCAGAAGGCAGUGAAGAAACAGCAAAACAGGGUUGACAUGCUACAACAAAUGUCGCUGAAGAUUAAUGAUGAAGGUGCAAUGGAGUUUUUAGGGAUUGGAUGCCUUGUGAUUUUUUGCUUCGUUAAAUUUGAACCUGUUUGAUACAAAUAAUACAUGUAAUAUGUUUGUUGCAAUGACUUUGUACUCGUUGUACUCUCUUAGAUGAUUUUUGUUGUUCAAUGACUGCAUGCGUAACUUCUGUUGUGAGACUCAUGUAUGAAAUCAAGGUGGAUUUUUGGACGCAUGAAAA